GACGAACGCUGGCGGCGUGCUUAACACAUGCAAGUCGAACGGAAAGGCCUUUUCGGAGGUACUCGAGUGGCGAACGGGUGAGUAACACGUGGGUGAUCUGCCCUGCACUCUGGGAUAAGCCUGGGAAACUGGGUCUAAUACCGGAUAGGACCGCACUUUAGUGUGUGUGGUGGAAAGUUUUUUCGGUGUAGGAUGAGCCCGCGGCCUAUCAGCUUGUUGGUGGGGUAAUGGCCUACCAAGGCGGCGACGGGUAGCCGGACUGAGAGGUUGGUCGGCCACAUUGGGACUGAGAUACGGCCCAGACUCCUACGGGAGGCAGCAGUGGGGAAUAUUGCACAAUGGGCGCAAGCCUGAUGCAGCGACGCCGCGUGGGGGAUGACGGCCUCCGGGUUGUAAACUCCUUUCGCCAGGGACGAAGCGUUUUGUGACGGUACCUGGAGAAGAAGCACCGGCUAACUACGUG
RNAcentral lists this ribosomal RNA (463 nucleotides) under uncultured bacterium. Its description in RNAcentral is "partial 16S ribosomal RNA". It matches the Rfam family "Bacterial small subunit ribosomal RNA", at positions 28 to 507 of the family's 1533-position model. The record is from RNAcentral.